RNAcentral lists this long non-coding RNA (611 nucleotides) under Pogona vitticeps (central bearded dragon). Its description in RNAcentral is "lncRNA (ENSPVIG00000022666.1)". Lineage: Eukaryota; Metazoa; Chordata; Lepidosauria; Squamata; Agamidae. The record is from RNAcentral.
CGAAAUCCAUAACAAUGUACGUGAGGGAAGAAUUUGAUAAUAGAUUCGUUUUAUCCCGAGACUUCAAUAGGACCCUCGUGACUGUAACGUUAGGCCUCGGGCUCAUUGAUUCAGCAUUCCUCAAUUGAUAUUCAAAUACCGUACUACAAAGCUAAAGAAAAGCUGCCAGCAGCCCAAAAGAGUGUUAUGAGGAGGCAGGCCCUGGGGAUUCAGUCACACAGUGUGUGAGCCCUAAAGACUUAAACCUUGGACAAAGAGCCAGCUCUACAGCAGCUACACUCCAAAAAUGACCAAGCAGUUAGUGGGGAUUCGGAACAGCCCAUUGCUGUUGUUCCUGCUGACUUCUUCCUCCUUCUCCUUCCCUGUGUUGCUGCACAUAAGUGGAAGUUCAAGUGGAAUCAGCCAGAAUUCAAACUGGCAGUUGGAUCAUCUGUGGAACUGAUAAAACAAAAUUAAAACCAAAAGCCACUUGCAAUUUUCACAUGUGGUUUUGGAAAAAAUGUGAUAAAAGCAUUCUCUGAUUUUGAAAUGUGGGACAUGUAAUUGAACAUUAAUACAUACUCUUCUUUGUGUAAGAUAAAAUUGUUUUUUGUAGCCGAUAACGAUUUAAA